Molecule: ribosomal RNA, 478 nt
Filed under: uncultured bacterium
Lineage: Bacteria
Description: partial 16S ribosomal RNA
Rfam family: Bacterial small subunit ribosomal RNA
Source: RNAcentral
GACGAACGCUGGCGGCGUGCUUAACACAUGCAAGUCGAACGGUAAGGCCCUUCGGGGUACACGAGUGGCGAACGGGUGAGUAACACGUGGGUGAUCUGCCCUGCACUUCGGGAUAAGCCUGGGAAACUGGGUCUAAUACCGGAUAGGACCACUGCCUGCAUGGGUGGUGGUGGAAAGCUUUUGCGGUGUGGGAUGGGCCCGCGGCCUAUCAGCUUGUUGGUGGGGUGAUGGCCUACCAAGGCGACGACGGGUAGCCGGCCUGAGAGGGUGACCGGCCACACUGGGCCUGAGAUACGGCCCAGACUGCUACGGGAGGCAGCAGUGGGGAAUAGUGCACAAUGGGCGCAAGCCUGAUGCAGCGGCGCCGCGUGAGGUAUGACGACCUUCGGGUUGUAAACCUCUUUCAGCACCGACGAAGCGCAAGUGACGGUAGGUGCAGAAGAAGGACCGGCCAACUACGUGCCAGCCGCCGCAGUAA